GGCGAGUGAAGCGGGAUGAGCUCCAAAUUUAAAAUCUGGCGGCCUCAGGUCGUCCGAGUUGUAGUCUAGAGAAUCGUUUUCCGCGUUGGCCUGUGUACAAGUCCCUUGGAACAGGGCGUCAUAGAGGGUGAGAAUCCCGUCCUUGACACAGACUACCAAUGCUUUGUGAUGCGAUCUCGAAGAGUCGAGUUGUUUGGGAAUGCAGCUCAAAAUGGGUGGUAAAUUCCAUCUAAAGCUAAAUAUUGGCGAGAGACCGAUAGCGAACAAGUACCGUGAGGGAAAGAUGAAAAGCACUUUGGAAAGAGAGUUAAACAGUACGUGAAAUUGUUAAAAGGGAAACGAUUGAAGUCAGUCAUGCUUUCCGAGACUCAGCCGAUUCUGUCGGUGUACUUCUCGGUUGGCAGGCCAGCAUCAGUUUCGAUCUGUGGAAAAGGUUGGAGGGAACGUGGCAUCCUCGGAUGUGUUAUAGCCCUUCUUCGAAUACAUAGAGCGGGACUGAGGAACGCAGCGCGCCUUUUAUUAGGUUGGCCCUCGGGUACAUACGCGCUUAGGAUGCUGGCAUAAUGGCUUUAAACGACCCGU
Molecule: ribosomal RNA, 582 nt
Filed under: Mrakia robertii
Lineage: Eukaryota; Fungi; Basidiomycota; Tremellomycetes; Cystofilobasidiales; Mrakiaceae
Description: eukaryotic LSU rRNA
Rfam family: Eukaryotic large subunit ribosomal RNA
Source: RNAcentral